AACGAACGUUAGCGGCGCGCCUAACACAUGCAAGUCGCACGAGAAAGGGCUUCGGCCCCGGUACAGUGGCGCACGGGUGAGUAACACGUGGGUAAUGUUCCCUCGGGCGGGGGAUAACCUUCCGAAAGGAGGGCUAAUACCGCAUAAGACCACGGCCUCGAAAGGGGCAGCGGUCAAAGCAGGCCUCUUCACGAAAGCUUGCUCCUGAGGAUCAGCCCGCGGCCCAUCAGCUAGUUGGCAGGGUAAUGGCCUACCAAGGCUAAGACGGGU
Molecule: ribosomal RNA, 270 nt
Filed under: uncultured bacterium
Lineage: Bacteria
Description: partial 16S ribosomal RNA
Rfam family: Bacterial small subunit ribosomal RNA
Source: RNAcentral